RNAcentral lists this ribosomal RNA (253 nucleotides) under uncultured bacterium. RNAcentral's name for it is "partial 16S ribosomal RNA". It matches the Rfam family "Bacterial small subunit ribosomal RNA", at positions 524 to 776 of the family's 1533-position model. The record is from RNAcentral.
UACGUAGGGUGCAAGCGUUGUCCGGAAUUAUUGGGCGUAAAGAGCUCGUAGGCGGUCUGUCGCGUCUGCUGUGAAAACUCAGGGCUUAACCCUGAGCUUGCAGUGGGUACGGGCAGACUAGAGUGCGGUAGGGGAGACUGGAAUUCCUGGUGUAGCGGUGAAAUGCGUAGAUAUCUGGAGGAACACCGGUGGCGAAGGCGGCAUCCUGGACCAACACUGACGCUGAGGAGCGAAAGCCAGGGGAGCAAACGGG